Gordionus sp. m RMFG-2023 is the source of this 206-nucleotide long non-coding RNA. RefSeq lists it as uncharacterized. NCBI's taxonomy places the organism in Eukaryota, Metazoa, Nematomorpha, Gordioida, Chordodea, Parachordodidae. The record is from RefSeq and is a predicted model, not a curated record. The transcript has 2 exons.
UUCUGGAGCUGAUGAUGCUGAGGCGAUUUUUUUGAAUUUCCAGUCAAAUUUUUUAGGUCGUAAAGGAUAUUUGCCUCGUUGGCGCCUUUUUUAAACUCCAUUUUAAAAAAUAAAUACAGAAAAUAAAAGAAGCUACAAAUUUAUCAUUGAUUCAAGAAGCUAAAGAUUUAUUAUUGAUUCAAGAAGCUAAAGAUUUAAAAAUACAG